UGGGGAAUAUUGGACAAUGGGCGAAAGCCUGAUCCAGCCAUGCCGCGUGAGUGACGAAGGCCUUAGGGUUGUAAAACUCUUUCGUCGGGGACGAUAAUGACGGUACCCGAAGAAGAAGCUCCGGCUAACUUCGUGCCAGCAGCCGCGGUAAUACGAAGGGAGCUAGCGUUGUUCGGAAUCACUGGGCGUAAAGCGCACGUAGGCGGAUAGUUAAGUCAGGGGUGAAAUCCUGGGGCUCAACCCCAGAACUGCCUUUGAUACUGGGAAGCUUGAGUCCGGGAGAGGUGAGUGGAACUGCGAGUGUAGAGGUGAAAUUCGUAGAUAUUCGCAAGAACACCAGUGGCGAAGGCGGCUCACUGGCCCGGUACUGACGCUGAGGUGCGAAAGCGUGGGGAGCAAACAGGAUUAGAUACCCCCGUAGUCCCUGAGCGGGCUGGCAAGGCGCAU
RNAcentral lists this ribosomal RNA (447 nucleotides) under uncultured bacterium. Its description in RNAcentral is "bacterial SSU rRNA". It matches the Rfam family "Bacterial small subunit ribosomal RNA", at positions 355 to 825 of the family's 1533-position model. The record is from RNAcentral.